This 607-nucleotide long non-coding RNA is filed under the name Mus musculus (house mouse). RNAcentral describes it as "predicted gene, 56919". Lineage: Eukaryota; Metazoa; Chordata; Mammalia; Rodentia; Muridae. The record is from RNAcentral.
GGAGAACGCAGCAGGCAGGCAUAGCCUCAGAGACAUCAUGCAUUGAAGCAUAGCUGUUCAAGUUCAAAGCAUGCUUUCUGGGGACCGUGACACAGAACCAAGCAUGCCUGUCUACAGAUGAAUGGAGAGAAUACAAUAUGAAUGUGCACUGUGAAAUACCAUUCCGCCUUUUAAAAGAUUGGGAUUCUGCAACAGUACAGAAGAUGCUUAAAGACAGAGAAGCCAGGCAUGGAGAGACAAGAACAUGAUGAUCUCAGACGCAAACGUCAUCUCCCAGAAGUAGAGCUUGGGGAUAUAGUUGCUGAGGGCUGGAAGGUAGGCCAGAGAUUUGAGGAAUACUGGUCAAAUAAUACAGAAUUCCAUUUCAGCGGUAGAGUAAGUUAAAGAGCUAUGGUACACCCUGUAGUCCCUAACGUUAGAGACAAGUGUAGUAACUCUGCUAGAGUGCAGAAAUAUUUUCGCACAAGAAUUGAUUAAGUGUGUGAAACAAUAUACAGAUUAAUGGCUUUAUUUGGCCAUUACAAAAUGUACGCAUAUUUCAAAGCAUGCUGUAUAGUAUAUAUAUAUAAUUUAUAUGCAAUUACAAUAAAAUGAAGAAAACAAUCUA